Molecule: ribosomal RNA, 253 nt
Filed under: uncultured bacterium
Lineage: Bacteria
Description: partial 16S ribosomal RNA
Rfam family: Bacterial small subunit ribosomal RNA
Source: RNAcentral
UACGUAGGGUGCAAGCGUUAAUCGGAAUUACUGGGCGUAAAGCGUGCGCAGGCGGCUCUAUAAGACAGAUGUGAAAUCCCCGGGCUCAACCUGGGAACUGCAUUUGUGACUGUAGAGCUGGAGUGCGGCAGAGGGGGAUGGAAUUCCGCGUGUAGCAGUGAAAUGCGUAGAUAUGCGGAGGAACACCGAUGGCGAAGGCAAUCCCCUGGGCCUGCACUGACGCUCAUGCACGAAAGCGUGGGGAGCAAACAGG